UCAAGUUACAAAGAGCGCAGGGCGAAUGCCUUGGCGCCUGGAGCCGAAGAAGGACGUGACAAGCUGCGAAAAGCUGUGGUGAGGAGCAAAUAUCCAUCGACCCACAGAUGUCCGAAUGGGGAAACCCGGUCAGGGUAAAUGCCUGAUCAGCCGUACAUGAACACAUAGUGUGCGGUGGGGAACGGGGUGAACUGAAACAUCUCAGUAGCCCCAGGAAGAGAAAUCAACCGAGAGUCCGUAAGUAGUGGCGAGCGAACGCGGAUGAGGCCAAACCGUAAGACGUCAAGUUUUGCGGGGUUGCGGACCGGCGAUAUGGUGAAAGAAGAUGAGUGGAAUGAGCGGCUGGAAAGCCGAGUCCAAAGAGCGUAAUAGUCGCGUACACGAAGUUUUUAAUCAGCUAGCCGGCACCAGAGUACCACGAGACACGAGAAACCUUGUGGGAAGCCGGGGGGACCACCCUCCAAGCCUAACUACUCCAGGCGACCGAUAGUGAACAAGUACUGUGAAGGAACGGUGAAAAGAACCCCGGGAGGGGAGUGAAAUAGAACCUGAAACCCUGUGCUUACAAGCAGUCGUAGGACGUUAAUGUCUGACGGCGUACUUUUUGUAGAACGGUCCGACGAGUUAUGGUGACGGGCGAGGUUAAGUGCUGAAGGCACGGAGCCGCAGCGAAAGCGAGUCUGAAGAGGGCUAGAUAGUCCGUUGCUGUAGACCCGAAACCGGGUGACCUACCCAUGGGCAGGCUGAAGUGACGGUAAAACGUCAUGGAGGGCCGCACCGUUGUCUGUUUAAAAAGGCUCGGAUGACCUGUGGGUAGCGGAGAAAUUCCAAUCGAACUCGGAAAUAGCUGGUUCUCCCCGAAAUAGCUUUAGGGCUAGCCUCGUUUAUGAGUCUGGCGGAGGUAGAGCACUGAAUGGGCUAGGGGCCUUACCGGGUUACCGAACCUUAUCAAACUCCGAAUGCCGUCAAGAUAUCCACGGGAGUCAGACAGCGACAGAUAAGUGCCGUUGUCGAAAGGGAAACAGCCCAGACCAUCAGCUAAGGUCCCUAAAUCGUCGUUAAGUGGCAAAGGAUGUGGACUUGCGAAGACAGCCAGGAUGUUGGCUUAGAAGCAGCCAUUCAUUAAAAGAGUGCGUAACAGCUCACUGGUCAAGUGGGUCUGCGCCGAAGAUGUCCGGGGCUAAACGACGUACCGAAGCUAUGGGGCUACGUUUAAAUGUAGUUGGUAGGGGAGCGUACCGUGCGAGCGGAAGCACGACCGUGAGGACGUGUGGAUUGCACGGUAGUGAGAAUGUCGGAAUGAGUAACGAGAGGAAGGUGAGAAUCCUUCCCGUCGAAAAUCCAAGGUUUCCUGGGGAAGGUUCGUCCCCCCAGGGUCAGUCGGGUCCUAAGGCGAGGCUGGUAAGCGUAGUCGAUGGAUAACAGGUGGAGAUUCCUGUACUACCGACCGGCGCAUGAGAGAGGCAGUGACACAGUAGGAAUGAGCGAGCGUGCGACUGGAAGAGCACGUCCAAGCACAGAGUGUAGUCCCGUAGUGAAGUACGCGGGAUGUUCAUGAUGUGUGAUGGGGAGGGAACACAAGUACCGAAGCGCGGCGUUUCACACUGGCGAGAAAACCUGCUAUCGAGCCGGUAGGUACCCGUACCGCAAACCGACACAGGUGGAUGAGGAGAGAAUCCUAAGACGAGCGGGCUAAGCAUUGUUAAGGAACUCGGCAAAUUAACCCCGUACGUUCGCAAGAAGGGGUGCCCGCCUCGAUCAGGCGGGCCGCAGUGAAUAGGCCCGAGCAACUGUUUAUCAAAAACACAGGUCUCCGCGAAAUCGCAAGAUGAAGUAUGGGGGCUGACGCCUGCCCGGUGCUGGAAGGUUACGGGAAUCUGUUAGCGUAAGCGAAGCAGUGAACUUAAGCCCCAGUAAACGGCGGCCGUAACUAUAACGGUCCUAAGGUAGCGAAAUUCCUUGUC
This 1964-nucleotide ribosomal RNA is filed under the name bioreactor metagenome. RNAcentral's name for it is "bacterial LSU rRNA". It matches the Rfam family "Bacterial large subunit ribosomal RNA", at positions 3 to 1973 of the family's 2925-position model. The record is from RNAcentral.